This 226-nucleotide ribosomal RNA is filed under the name uncultured bacterium. Its description in RNAcentral is "partial 16S ribosomal RNA". It matches the Rfam family "Bacterial small subunit ribosomal RNA", at positions 980 to 1205 of the family's 1533-position model. The record is from RNAcentral.
UACCCUUGACAUGCCACUAACGAAGCAGAGAUGCAUUAGGUGCUCGAAAGAGAAAGUGGACACAGGUGCUGCAUGGCUGUCGUCAGCUCGUGUCGUGAGAUGUUGGGUUAAGUCCCGCAACGAGCGCAACCCUUGUCUCUAGUUGCUACGAAAGGGCACUCUAGAGAGACUGCCGGUGACAAACCGGAGGAAGGUGGGGAUGACGUCAAGUCCUCAUGGCCCUUAG